CCUACGGGAGGCAGCAGUGGGGAAUUUUGGACAAUGGGCGAAAGCCUGAUCCAGCAAUGCCGCGUGUGGGAAGAAGGCCUUCGGGUUGUAAACCACUUUUGUACGGAACGAAACGGUUCGCUUUAAUACAGUGGGCUAAUGACGGUACCGUAAGAAUAAGCACCGGCUAACUACGUGCCAGCAGCCGCGGUAAUACGUAGGGUGCGAGCGUUAAUCGGAAUUACUGGGCGUAAAGCGUGCGCAGGCGGUUAUAUAAGACAGUUGUGAAAUCCCCGGGCUCAACCUGGGAAUUGCAUCUGUGGCUGUAUAGCUAGAGUACGGUAGAGGGGGAUGGAAUUCCGCGUGUAGCAGUGAAAUGCGUAGAUAUGCGGAGGAACACCGAUGGCGAAGGCAAUCCCCUGGACCUGUACUGACGCUCAUGCACGAAAGCGUGGGGAGCAAACAGGAUUAGAUACCCUGGUAGUCCACGCCCUAAACGAUGUCAACUGGUUGUUGGGUGCAUUAGUACUCAGUAACGAAGCUAACGCGUGAAGUUGACCGCCUGGGGAGUACGGCCGCAAGGUUGAAAACUCGAAAAGAGUAGUACGGACGUGUAGACGUACGUCGAACGGACGACCGACCGAACGGGAAGGGUUAGGAGG
This 641-nucleotide ribosomal RNA is filed under the name uncultured bacterium. RNAcentral's name for it is "bacterial SSU rRNA". It matches the Rfam family "Bacterial small subunit ribosomal RNA", at positions 338 to 1427 of the family's 1533-position model. The record is from RNAcentral.